Molecule: long non-coding RNA, 479 nt
Filed under: Homo sapiens (human)
Lineage: Eukaryota; Metazoa; Chordata; Mammalia; Primates; Hominidae
Description: HSALNT0405127
Source: RNAcentral
CGGCUGCAAAGCGGGAACAAUCAUUUACAGGGUUGCUGUGGAGACCAAAGGCAGCUCAGCUUUGUUCAAAGUACAGAAGGGAAAGGAAGUGACUUAUUUACGCCCUUCUCUGUACUGGGUACUUUGCAUGCCUCUGAUCCUCAGAGUAAAUUCAUAAGGAUGCAACUUGGUGAACACUUCUUCCAUGAAACCUUCCUUCUCCCUGAAGGAGUGAAGUAUGGGCCAUCCCAAAAUAUGCUGGAUUGGUAUAUUGACCAUUUUGAGUGGACAACAUUGGAAAAAUAGUGGCCUCAGAAAGGGCUAACUGGGCCAGGUGCAGUGGCUCAUACCUGUAAUCCUAGCACUUUGGGAGGCUGAAGGGGGAGGGUUGCUUGAGCCCAAGAGUUUGAGGUUACAGUGAGAUAUGAUCACACUACUACACCCCAGCCUGGGUGACAGAGUGAGACCUCAACUCUAAAAUAAAUAAAUAAAUAAAUAAA